This is a non-coding RNA of Schistosoma mattheei, 48 nucleotides long. Lineage: Eukaryota; Metazoa; Platyhelminthes; Trematoda; Strigeidida; Schistosomatidae. The record is from Rfam.
AUCCAGCUGACGAGUGCGAAAUAGAACGAAACGUGUGUCGAACUGGAU